ACGGAAGGCAGCAGUGGGGAAUAUUGCACAAUGGGGGAAACCCUGAUGCAGCGACGCCGCGUGAGUGAAGAAGUAUUUCGGUAUGUAAAGCUCUAUCAGCAGGAAAGAAAAUGACGGUACCUGACUAAGAAGCCCCGGCUAACUACGUGCCAGCAGCCGCGGUACUACGUAGGGGGCAAGCGUUAUCCGGAUUUACUGGGUGUAAAGGGAGCGUAGACGGCUUUGCAAGUCUGAAGUGAAAGCCCGGGGCUCAACCCCGGAACUGCUUUGGAAACUGUAGAGCUAGAGUGCAGGAGAGGUAAGUGGAAUUCCUAGUGUAGCGGUGAAAUGCGUAGAUAUUAGGAGGAACACCAGUGGCGAAGGCGGCUUACUGGACUGUAACUGACGUUGAGGCUCGAAGGCGUGGGGAGCAAACAGGAUUAGAUACCCUGGUA
Molecule: ribosomal RNA, 434 nt
Filed under: uncultured Lachnospiraceae bacterium
Lineage: Bacteria; Bacillati; Bacillota; Clostridia; Lachnospirales; Lachnospiraceae
Description: partial 16S ribosomal RNA
Rfam family: Bacterial small subunit ribosomal RNA
Source: RNAcentral